This 432-nucleotide long non-coding RNA is filed under the name Junco hyemalis (dark-eyed junco). Its description in RNAcentral is "lncRNA (ENSJHYG00000014103.1)". The record is from RNAcentral. Lineage: Eukaryota; Metazoa; Chordata; Aves; Passeriformes; Passerellidae.
CCCGCGCAGCGGCGCGGAGCGCGGCGCGAUGAGCGCGGGCAGCGGCAGCGGCGCCGCCGGCGCGGCGGGCACCGCCACCUCCGCGCUGUGCCUGCUGCUCUCGCUCACCGCCGUGGCCGUGUGCCUGCUGCUGGGCGCCAAGACGGCCGAGCUGCAGGGCCGGCUGGCCGCGCUGGAGGAGCGGGGCGCCGCCGGGCACGGGCCGCUGCUGGACGCGCUGCAGCCCCGCGUGGAGCAGCUGUUCCGCGAGAAACUCGGCGAGGGCCUGGCGAAGCUGCGCACGGCGCGGGAGGCGCCCCCGGACUGCGUGUGCCCCCCAGGGCCCCCGGGGCGGCGAGGGAAGCCCGGCCGGCGCGGAGAACCCGGUAAGCAUCACCUGCCCUGGCACCGGGGUGGCAUUGGGGUGGCAUUGGGGUGGCAGCCUUUGGGUAA